This 1923-nucleotide long non-coding RNA is filed under the name Mus musculus (house mouse). Its description in RNAcentral is "long non-coding RNA chr13:37903987-37905910". Lineage: Eukaryota; Metazoa; Chordata; Mammalia; Rodentia; Muridae. The record is from RNAcentral.
UGCCUCCCAAGUGCUGGGAUUAAAGGUGUGUGUCACCACGCCAGAGGGAAAAGAGUUUUUGAAUAAAGUAUUAUCAUAUGUUGUUCCUAUCCUGUAAGUGCUCAUGCUGUUUAGGUUGGAAAAUGUGUGUGUGUGUGUGUGUGUGUGUGUGGUGCUUAUAUUCUUAUGGAUUUUUACAUAAGCUGGUGGAGGCCUGAAAUUGUCUGGUACCUUCUUCAGGACCUGACUUGCUCUUUACCUUACUUUUUGACACAGGUCUCCAGGAACCUGGAGCUCACCGAUCCAACUAGGCUAUCUGGCCCAGCCAGCGAGCUCCAGGGACCUGCCUGUCUCUUCCUCCUCAGUACUGGACCUGCCAGUGUGCGCUGCCAGACUCGGCUCUGUCUGUGGAUGCUGGGGAUCCAAACUCAGCUCCUAUUCUUGUCCAGCAAGCAGUUAUCAGCUAGAUCUUCUCCCCAGCUCCCUAGAACUACCCUAUUCCAAACCUAUAGCUUGGUUUGUGAGGAGAAUAAGAGUCUCCCGUCAAGUACGGAAAAUAAUUUACAGAACCCUCACUAUGGCUCCAGCUUCUGGCUUUCCCAAAUGCUUUAUCAGAUGCUCUCAUGUUGAAAAUUUGGAUUAAACAGUGCAUGCCUUCCAAAUCAAACUUGGGAAAGCAAGCCAGAACACACCCUCCAGGUGAGGCGAAUGUAGGGGAAAGGGCAUCAAGCUCUGGCACUUGCAAAAGCUGUUCCAGAAGCCCUCAGUGGCCGAGCCGUGAAGGAAUGGGUGCCUUUAGUGGAGCACUUCUCUCCUUUGGCCACUCGCUGUUUUAUGAAGGUCUUGGUUAUCCUAGUUUCAAAGGCUGCUCACUCAGUCCCUUCUCUGUAUGACUGUUAUGUUAGUGAAAUAGACACAGUGAGCUAGCGUACUAAACUCUUAUGGGUAGUCUCUUGAAAGAGGAGAUGGGGACAGACCUUGUAUGAAAUGUCUAUAAAAUGACUACUUUUUUUGAAAGAUUGUAAAAGUAAAACCCUGCAGACCAUAAUCGCCUUUGCAGAGAGGGAAACCCAAUUCCAUUUUGCUCCUCGUGUCCCAUACUUUAAGCUAUAAAGAAUUGCAUAUAUUGAUUAGGCUUAAGGAGUUGCUGGAGCCUGAUGAGUGCUCUCGAGGCAGCCUUCCUAUUUACUCUGAAAAACAGGGAUGUAUCCUCACUUGACGGUCAUAGAACGGGGAAAAGGGAAAUCCCAGAGCAUCGCCUACUUGCCAUGAACUGAUGGGAUGUGCAUUGACCCUGAGGAUGCUGAUGGAUAGGAACAGAGGCUUAUGUGUUCCCAUUAUACUUAAAGAAAACCUGAGCCCCACAGAAAUGUGACCACGGGAGCUCUGGAUUCAGCAUGCUUCUCUCCUAUGCUUGAGCGGAGCCUGCCGAUGGCUAUCUGGAACAGGGGCCAGCACUAAUCCAGAAAAGGAGCAGAGGUGAGCCACUGUCUACAGAGGACAACCACUUCUUCACUCUCCAUCCCCACCAAGAGGAAGAGCCUCAUGAAAUUCUCCCACAGUCAUAUCGAGUUUCUUAGGACACCCUGUAACGAAUCCUGAGACUUGCUGCUCUCAAGUGUGGAGGAAACCAUGCAAAGGUUCAGCCAGUCCCAUCUCCAAAUUACCUGUUCACUCUGCCACCAUGUUCCUCUGUGGGAAGGAAGGUGUCAGGCAAGAAAUUAGUUCCAGGACAAAAACCUGUGGGUCAUUCCACCAAGAACAGAUUGUAAAGUCUUGUUUCCCUAGAAAUAUCCCCUGCCUGUUCUUGUUUGUUUGAGAUAUGGUUUUUCAUGGCCACCCAGGCUGGCCCCAAACAUCAAGGCUCUUAGUUAUCCCUCCACCUUUCCCUCCCAAGUAGCUAGAACUAAGUAAGACACCUGACCUUGACCUUGACAUAGUUCU